GUUCUUGAUUCAGAUUUUCUUGUGCCAAUGAAAGGUAAACCUUCCCCUUCUUCUACAUUAAUAUGUUGCGGUAGUUCUGUUGGACUGUAAUUAUUUAUCUUGCUAUUAGCAUGUUUCUGAAUAUUUAUUUGUUCCUUUAUUCUCAAAGUUGGUAGCCUACAUAAUUUUUUAGUCAAAUAGGUAUGACUUCAAUAAUUUUCUAUACUAGGUUCUUUUGUGUAUUAGACAUAUUAUAAAUUGGAAUGAUUAUCUAAAAUAGAAUUGCCGGCAUUUGAAGUUAGUUUUCAGUAUUGUUACUUUUCCCUUCCAAGUUCAUUUGUAUUAGUUUAGAUUUGUUUCCUUUAUAUGGAAUUUUACCGGAGGAUAACAUUCAUGCAAUAACUUUAUUGCUUUUUCACCACCUCUAUUUUAUUUUUAGGUAUAAUCUUCUGUCUCAUUGUCUUCUUUCUAUAUUUCUGGACAAUAUUUUUGCAGCGCUCCUGCACAGCAUUUCGGCACACUGUUUCUGCAGAAUAAUUAUGAACAAACAAAAGUAUUCUUGUACAAGCUUUUAGAAGAAAAAUAUUUGUUUUAAUACUUACAAAAUUAUGAUUGUCCUAAACUUCAAACUAUUUGUGUUAAUUUUUUUUUUUUUUUUGCACAAGUACCAUCUUGGUUCUUUGAUCAAUGUUCUCUAACGUUGUUGGACUGCAUUCUAUAUUUUGAUUUUAGGUUGUUGGUUCUGCAUUCACAUGAAGAAGAGAUGCACAUGGACAAAAGUAAUUUGAGAGUGUUGAGUAGAUAAAUAUACUCUACAAGGUUAGUUAAGCAAUAUCUGAUAUGCUUCUAACCAAGCAUGCAAUUGUCUAAAAGGUGUUAAUUUAGGUUUCAAGUCAGUAGAAUUCUGAAAUAUGUACUAUUAUGGAACCUGAAAUUGUGAAAUAUAUACUAUUGUGAAAUCGAAUGAAUUAUUUUUCUUACAUAAAGAAUAUAAAAAGCUAUGAGUUAUGCAAACGAGAUAGUUUUUAAACAUAUUUCCUGAUGAGGAGUGUGCUAAAUCGGAUAGUUUGAUUACAUAUUAUGUCAUAAGCUUGCAAUUAAAAAUAUAAUCCUUCUAAAUGACGAGGGCAAAUUAAUAUGAUUGUACAAAGGUACUCGUCUGCGGGUGCUGCAAAGUAUUCUACAUCCAUUGUUCGCUGAAAUAUACCAAAAUAUUUCUCUGAAUUUCAAUUGGCUAUUAGCAUAAGAAAUGUAUUGAAUACUUGUUUCUAUAUGUCCUUUAUUUAUUAUCUCCUACUUUACCUAUGUAUUUUUCUCCGUUGAUAGGUGAAAACGUGGGUGAAAUCUCACAUUAGUUUACAUAUGCAUAUUAGUUCUAUUUAACUUUUGAUUUUAUUUUGUAUGUGUAGGAAAUUCUGGUGAUGCAAUUGAAAUGGUGCUCCAAAGUCAACAUGAUUUAUUGGAAGUUAGUGAUGGACAGUUUUGGACAAUGAUGAUAUUUAUGAUAUUAUUUAAAUAC
This 1498-nucleotide long non-coding RNA is filed under the name Nicotiana benthamiana. RNAcentral describes it as "long non-coding RNA (NBEN_LNC005758)". The record is from RNAcentral. Lineage: Eukaryota; Viridiplantae; Streptophyta; Magnoliopsida; Solanales; Solanaceae.